This 383-nucleotide ribosomal RNA is filed under the name uncultured eukaryote. RNAcentral describes it as "partial 18S ribosomal RNA". It matches the Rfam family "Eukaryotic small subunit ribosomal RNA", at positions 592 to 976 of the family's 1831-position model. The record is from RNAcentral.
CAAUAGCGUAUAUUAAAGUUGUUGCAGUUAAAAAGCUCGUAGUUGGAUCUCUGGCAGGAGCGACCGGUCACACACUCUGUGUGUGAACUUGUGUUGUCUCUGGCCAUCCUUGGGGAGAUCCUGUUUGGCAUUAAGUUGUCGGGCAGGGGACAUCCAUCGUUUACUGUGAAAAAAUUAGAGUGUUUAAAGCAGGCUUAUGCCGUUGAAUAUAUUAGCAUGGAAUAAUAAGAUAGGACUUCGGAACUAUUUUGUUGGUUUGCGUUACGAAGUAAUGAUUAAUAGGGACAGUUGGGGGUAUUCGUAUUUCGUUGUCAGAGGUGAAAUUCUUGGAUUUCCGAAAGACGAACUACUGCGAAAGCAUUUACCAAGGAUGUUUUCAUUAA